CACUAUUCAUAAUCGUAAAUAAGAUAAAAAUUCACCAGAGUACUAUGAAUAGCAUAUUUAAAACUCAAAGAGCUUGGCGGUGUUUUAGACCUAUCAGGGGAACCUGUCUCGUAAUCGACAAUCCACGUAAAACCUAACCCUUUGUUGUAUUCAGUUUGUAUAUCGUCGUCGUCAGGUAACUUUUAAAAAUUUAGAAGUUAGCAAUAAAAAUUAUUAUAAGUUGAUACGUCAGAUCAAGAUGCAGCUAACAAAAGGGCGAGGAUGGGUUACAAUUAUACUACUUAUAAUUACGGAUAAUUAAAUGAAAACAUAAUUUGAAGGAGGACUUGAAAGUAAAAUAAUUUAUAUAUAUACUUUGAAUAAGGCUCUGAAACGUGC
This 378-nucleotide ribosomal RNA is filed under the name Metula sp. NP-2013. RNAcentral describes it as "partial 12S ribosomal RNA". It matches the Rfam family "Bacterial small subunit ribosomal RNA", at positions 875 to 1384 of the family's 1533-position model. The record is from RNAcentral. Lineage: Eukaryota; Metazoa; Mollusca; Gastropoda; Neogastropoda; Buccinidae.